GUUUUCAUCAUCCUUGAAUAUAGCCCUCUUGCCUGCCAAAAGUUCUAAUAAUACCACACCUAGGCUAAAGACAUCACUUUUUUCUGCUGAUUUUAGAUGCCCAUAUUCAUUGUAGAUAGCUACUUCUUUGACAUCCACUAGUCGGUAAUCGAUUUGAGAACCAAGAAGAAUGAAUGACCAUCCAAAAUCUGAAACUCUUGCUGU
Molecule: unclassified non-coding RNA, 204 nt
Filed under: Hevea brasiliensis (rubber tree)
Lineage: Eukaryota; Viridiplantae; Streptophyta; Magnoliopsida; Malpighiales; Euphorbiaceae
Source: RNAcentral